GACGAACGCUGGCGGCGUGCUUAACACAUGCAAGUCGAGCGGAAAGGCCCUUCGGGGUACUCGAGCGGCGAACGGGUGAGUAACACGUGAGUAACCUGCCCUAGGCUUUGGGAUAACCCCGGGAAACCGGGGCUAAUACCGGAUAUGACCUGGUGCCGCAUGGUGUUGGGUGGAAAGUUUUUUCGGCCUGGGAUGGGCUCGCGGCCUAUCAGCUUGUUGGUGGGGUGAUGGCCUACCAAGGCGAUGACGGGUAGCCGGCCUGAGAAGGAGACCGGCCACACUGGGACAGUGACACGGCCCAGACUCCUACGGGGGGCAGCGGUGGGGAAUAUUGAACAAUGGGCGGAAGCCUGAUGGAGCGACGCCGUGUGGGGGAUGAAGGCCUUCGGGUUGUAACCCUCUUUCAGCAGGGACGAAGCGUGAGUGACGGUACCUGCAGAAGAAGCUCCGGCCAACUACGUG
RNAcentral lists this ribosomal RNA (462 nucleotides) under uncultured bacterium. RNAcentral's name for it is "partial 16S ribosomal RNA". It matches the Rfam family "Bacterial small subunit ribosomal RNA", at positions 28 to 507 of the family's 1533-position model. The record is from RNAcentral.